CAGUCACAGAACCCUUGACCUUGACUAUCCACCGACUGUGGACAGUGACCCACCAGUGGGGGUUGUAGGUGAACAGGUUAAACGUAAUGAUAACUCUGUUAGGUCUGUCAGGUCAGGGGCUGGUCGGGUUAGGAAACACCCAGUAAGACUCAUGGAGACUAUGCAGACACAGAGGGUUUUUCAUACAGAAUUCAUUAGAAUACCUUUCUGGGAUGUGCUUUGGUAUAUGAUUGCUGUAUAUAAGUGGGUUAGCUAGCAUGCACCGAUGUAAUGGUCACAUAAGCCCACUGCUAACACAGUUGUUUUCAUGCUACAGAUUUUACCAUUGACAGCCAUCAACAUCAUUAGGCCCUUCACAACUAACCUGCUGUUUCCUAUUGAACAACAGAUAAUAAUGCUCAACUGGGACCACUGGCUGGGGUGAUUUAUUAGGACAAAACACAACGCAAGGAGAGAACGAUUAACAUCUGUUACACUAACAACAGUGUAGUUAACUCAACUCAUUCAAACUAUCAUGACUAUUGUUUAGAGAGAAGAUCAUAGAAGAUCAGGCAUAAAGUUUAAGAUAUAGCAAGAGAGGACAAUAUGGUGCAAGGUAGCCAAAGUGGAAUCAAAAGUCAUAGGCCUAAUCAUCAAUCAAAUAUGAAAUAUAAAACCAAAAUAUAAUCUACAUAUAAAUGUAGUAGAGUUGAAAAGGUUAUUCCAUCAAACUUCUAAUGAUUAGAAUAGUACACAAGGCAGAACAGAACAGCCAGGUUGGGGGUCAGUGGCCCAAGCCCGCGAACAGGAAUAUUCCAAGUUCAGACAGAAGGGGGGGAGUCAGAUCGUUAUGAUCGCCAGGAAAUUUACUUUUGGUGUCUAUUUUUAAUUGUUGCGCUACUGGUGCUGCCUGUUGAUGUUAGGUAGGGAACUACAGUAGCUGAAUGAUGUUAACAUCAUCUUAAAUGUAUUUUAUUUCAUCUGAGUGCUUGCGUCACAUACUAACACCCUGGUACAACCCGUAGCUCCCGUUCUCCUCAGUCUGAGUAAAACACUGAGAGAAAGGUAUGUGUUGCAGAUUACUCCUUUGUAGAAGUCCAUAACGUGAAAUAAAUAAAACAUCCCGAUGUUAAUGCUGUAGAUAUUGUUAUAAGGGAGUGUGAGACUAUUGAAACAUGUAACUUUCAGAGUUUUAUUGUUAUUAAGAUAGUUUACAGAGUGCUAAAAGUGCUGCUGUUGCUAGCUAGCAUGCCUUUCUGUGAUGCAGACGGUUAGCUGCCCACUGGUGCUGGCUUUGCAUUAUGGGAGAUGUAGUUUUGUCCGGUCUGAAUGGGAUAGAGGCGAUUUCACGUUGUAACUUGUUUGUGUUGCAGUGUUUUUGUACAUGAGUUGUUGUAUUUUGGUACUGUCAACACUGAAAGCACCUAGCAAUGUAUUGGGGAUGUGAGACAGGAUAUGUGUUUUACCUUUCUUCAUGCUCGAAAGGGGUAUAAUGAAAGAGUGGAAGGCUGAGUCAGAGAGCCAGAGGGAGGCAGAGUGCCACAGAGGGAGGCAGAGUGCCACAGAGGGAGGCAGAGUGCCACAGAGGGAGUCAGAGUGCCACAGAGGGAGUCAGAGUGCCACAGAGGGAGUCAGAGUGCCACAGAGGGAGUCAGAGUGCCAGAGAGGGAGUCAGAGUGCCAGAGAGAAGCAGAGCGAGCCACAGAAGCAAUGGAGCACCAGAGAAAACUGCAGGAGAUCCACAGACUCAAACAACUGCUGGAUCUACUGAUGGUGGACCUACAACUGGCCCACAUAAGACAUGUCAUUGUUAUUAUUAAAAGGCAGUGUAUAUUUACCCAGCUGAAAAUGAAUAGUGGCAGACAGCGGUACGCUAACCCAAUGUUAACUUUUAUUCCUUUCCUUAACCCUUACCUUAACCUCACUGAAACUAUACCUAACCUUUACCUUAACCCAACUCUAGGUCCUGAACCUAACCUUCAUUUAUCUCAACCCCUAUGCCUUUCUUCUGCCGGUUGAAUAUCCACUUCCUUAUUAACGUCAUUACUGUUGUUGUUGUUGUUGUUGAUAACUGUAUCUGUGCAGGUUGUAAAUAGUUGCAUUAGUGAAGCAUCAUCUGUAGGAGUAAUUUCUACAAGCAUAAACAUCAGAGGCAACAUUGUUGUAACAUCACACAAAUUGUAACAGGAAUUUCUCAAACCCCUAACUGAAUGGGCAAGAAGGUUGUGUGUUUGUAUUUGUACACAUUGUGGACAUAAUUGAUUCCGUAAAAUGUCUCAUAUUUGCAUUGGGAAUUUCAUUUAGCUUCAAUCAGAGAGAGAGAGAAGAUAAUAGAGGCAACGAAAAGAGAGGAGAUGGCAGAAGAGGAAAGAAGGGAGAUCCUUGAGAAGAGGGGUGAGUUAGAGAACACUGAAGAGGAGGAGGAGAAGGACGAUGACAAGGAGGACAUCCUCCCACCUGAUAAAAGUAUCUGAAGGAGAGCCGUGGGCUGGGUAAAUAAGAAGUGGGAGAAGAGGAACCUCAGAAAGAUAGAGAACCUGUCAGAGAGAAGCUGAGGAGGGCUAUAAGAUCGUCCACAUAGUCAUCCCUGGACCCAUAAGGCUAACCAUGACCCAGGCAGAGAGAGAGAGGAAGGAGCUCCUGAAGACUGAGGAGAGAAGGAAUAAGAUGGAGGAUUGCAGUGGAGAGAGCAGUCCCUGCUUAAUAAACGGACUCAUCAGAAACUUAAAGAGGAGAGGGAGAGGAUGAAGGAACAGUACCUAAAUAAACAAGCAAGAGAUUU
Non-coding RNA from Oncorhynchus mykiss (rainbow trout), 2761 nucleotides. The record is from RefSeq and is a predicted model, not a curated record. Lineage: Eukaryota; Metazoa; Chordata; Actinopteri; Salmoniformes; Salmonidae.